Molecule: ribosomal RNA, 859 nt
Filed under: Oligota pumilio
Lineage: Eukaryota; Metazoa; Arthropoda; Insecta; Coleoptera; Staphylinidae
Description: bacterial SSU rRNA
Rfam family: Eukaryotic small subunit ribosomal RNA
Source: RNAcentral
CACGGGGAGGUAGUGACGAAAAAUAACGAUACGGGACUCAUCCGAGGCCCCGUAAUCGGAAUGAGUACACUCUAAACCCUUUAACAAAAAACAAUUGGAGGGCCAGUCUGGUGCCAGCAGCCGCGGUAAUUCCAGCUCCAAUAGCGUAUAUUAAAGUUGUUGCGGUUAAAAAGCUCGUAGUCGAAUCUGUGUCCCGUGCCGCUGGUUCAUCGCUCGCGGUGUUUAACUGGCGUGUCUCACGGGACGUCCUGCCGGUGGGCUUUUCGAUUUGUUCGUCAUUCGUGGCGUUCGGUCGUGUGGCCCAACUUGCGUUUCGGCCUUGUGUCGAGCGUGAAUCCCAUCGCGGUGCUCUUUAUCGAGUGUCGAGGUGGGCCGGCACGUUUACUUUGAACAAAUUAGAGUGCUUAAAGCAGGCCGAGUUUCGCCUGAAUAUUGUGUGCAUGGAAUAAUGGAAUAGGACCUCGGUUCUAUUUUGUUGGUUUUCAGAACCCCGAGGUAAUGAUUAAUAGGAACGGAUGGGGGCAUUCGUAUUGCGACGUUAGAGGUGAAAUUCUUGGAUCGUCGCAAGACGGACAGAAGCGAAAGCAUUUGCCAAAAACGCUUUCAUUGAUCAAGAACGAAAGUUAGAGGUUCGAAGGCGAUCAGAUACCGCCCUAGUUCUAACCAUAAACGAUGCCAGCUAGCGAUCCGCCGACGUUCCUUAUAUGACUCGGCGGGCAGCUUCCGGGAAAUCAAAGCUUUUGGGUUCCGGGGGAAGUAUGGUUGCAAAGCUGAAACUUAAAGGAAUUGACGGAAGGGCACCACCAGGAGUGGAGCCUGCGGCUUAAUUUGACUCAACACUGGAAACCUCACCAGGCCC